Rhopilema esculentum is the source of this 14085-nucleotide non-coding RNA. The record is from RefSeq and is a predicted model, not a curated record. Lineage: Eukaryota; Metazoa; Cnidaria; Scyphozoa; Rhizostomeae; Rhizostomatidae.
GCCCAAUGACAUUACGUAUGAUCUAAGCCUUAUGUAACAAAAAAUUUAUGAACGGACACGUUCAAAUACUGGACGCUUCAUAACGGUUAACAAUGAUAUUGGCCCAAUGAUAUUGCGUAUGAUUUAAGCCUUAUGUAAAAACGUCUAUGAACGGACACGUUCCAAUACCGGACACUUGAAAACGGCAAAACAAUAGUAUUGGCCCAAUGAUAUUACGUAUGAUCUAAGCCUUAUGUAAAAAACAUUUAUGAAAGGACACGUUGCAAUACCGGACACUUCAUAAAGGUUAACAAUGAUAUUGGCCCAAUGCUCUUGCGUAUGGUCUAAGCCUUAUGUGAAUAAUAAAUGGACGCUUCAAAUCAGCAGAGAAAUUUUAUUGUCUCAAAACAUUUUUCCCAUCGUAUAACCCUUAAAAAAGUAUCUUCCAUCAACGACAAAUUUUCAAAUAUCGGAGACCUUCAACCAACCGAAAAUUUCAUGCCUUCAGCUAGAUCUUUUUUUCAAAAAACCCUUGUCAGCGGAAAUUUUCUAAUACCGGACAGCUCUUACUGGCAAACUAGUUUUAUUUAAGUUUAUUUAAGUUGUACAUUUUUCAGGGGAUGAUUCCCAACAACGAACACCUCCAAAUAUCAGACAAAGGAUAUUGUUUCUUCAUGAGACUAAAAUAUGAUUAUAGCAGCCUCAAGACAACGGGCUCCUUCCCUAAACAAAAGAUUUAUCUAUCUUUUUUAUUUUCACUUCAUAAAUUUUCACAGACGUAUCGUCACUUUAUAAACAAGAAGAAAGUACAGUUAAGAAGAACUACAGGCCAAUUAGUGUUUUGCCAAAUGUUUCAAAAGUUUUCGAGAGGCUUCUAGUCAAACAAGUGGAAGAACACAUAGAACCGUAUUUGUUCAUACUAUUAUGUGGAUUUCGCAUAGGAUAUAACACUCAGCAAGCCUUGGUACGUUUUUCGGAAAAAACCAAGUUUGCAUUGACGUAGGUGGAAAAGUUGGUGCUGUCAUGAUAGGUCUUCCUAAGGCUUUUGACUGCCUGAGGCAGAUCUCCUUAUAGCCAAAUUGGACGCAUACGGCUUCAGUCAUGAUGCCUUGUCUCUAAUUUACAGUUACUUGCAUAACAGACGACAGAAGGUCAAGGUCAACGGGUCUUUUAGCUCCUGGAAUCAACUUACUUUAGGAGUGCCUCAAGGAUCAGUGCUUGGAGCCCUUCUAUUCAUUAUCUAUAACAACGAUUUGCUUCGUCCCUUAAAUAAUACAGAUGUAUGCAAUUAUGCCGACGAUACAACUUUAUUUGCUUGUAAUAUUGAUACUGGUAAUGUUGUUGCUAGGUUAGAACUAGAUUCCGCCCAUUCAAUCAAAUGGUUCUCUGACAAUUAUAUGAAGCUCAAUGAAGACAAAUGUCAUCUAUUAACAUUUGGAAAUGUGAGUGAUGACUCUGUUUCGGUCAAAAUUGGCAGUUCUACUCUAACUAAUAGUAUUGAAGAAUAAUUGUUAGGAGUUACCUUAGAUAGCAAACUUUCAUUUGAGCAAUAUGUAAGUAAUCUAUGUCAAAUGGUCAUCAACAAGCUAUAUGCUUUGUCACCUAUUGCACACUAUAUGGACCAAAUUGACUAAAGGAUACUGAUGUUAUCAUUCAUCAAUAGCCAGUUUAAAUACUGACCUUUGGCAUGGAUGUUCCAUAGUAGGAAACUAAAUUCUAAAAUAAAAAAACUGCACGAGCAAACCCUUUCAAAACUGUUAUUUUGCAAUGCUAUUUGUUUGGCAAGGUUUGUUUGAGUUAUGGGAGCUUAAAUUUACUGACGCAUAUUUUGUACAUACUCAUUUGUUUGUGCGUGGCUAUGUAUAGUGUCCACCAGAGUUAGCAGAAAACUUGCAUCAAAGUAUAUUCAGGGCCGUGCCACUGAUCGUAAAUUGGAGGACAAGCUCUGUUUAUAAAUUUUACUCUUGCCCCCUUUACACCCAAUCGUGGCAAACAUUUUACUGACGAUUUGCUUGUGUACUUUAGUUCAAUGUAUUUGUUGUAAUUUAAAGGUUUAUUUAUAUGAAAUUUGGAUAAAGUGAAGAGGUCAUGCUCCCUUGCCUCCCUUCCAUGGGGCAGACCCUGUUAUCAAAUAUCAUUUUUGAAGGAAGGAAGAGCAACUUUAUGUUCUUGAUAGAGUCGUCGUUGAUGUAGCAACUGUACCUCGCAAGUGACAUUAUUACCCAGUGCACUAAAACUAAACAAGGGAGUAUGGGGAAAAGAUUAUCAUCUUGCUUAUGGGCCAGCAAAGUACUUAUAUUGAAUUCAAAAACUGAUAAAAAAUUUUAUUAAGAUAUCCUUCAAAUUUGAAAUAAUACCCAAAACUCAGGUGUGACCUUUCUAAAAACGCUGUCUAAAUUAUAUUCCUGUUUCAAGUUUCAUUUUACAAGUUCCGUUACUAUUCAUUUGUUUUUGUACCCUGCAAGGUCAUUUAAAAAAGUAAUGAGUAAAAUUAAUUCCCAGUAAAAGACAUUUUUGCAGUGUUUAAAAUCAAUGUUUUAAAAGCAUAUCAAAUAUAAAUAGAACUAUGAACUUUAUAUUUUUGCUAGAAAACGCAAUAAACUGACCCAAAAGCAACAUUUCAUGUUUGAAAACGGCGGGAUAUAAAAUGAUUGGGUCUUCUAUCUUGAAAUGAUGUUUAGAAAAAAAAAUUAAGGUGUGUGCUGGAACUGCAUGAUGGCAAAAUCAUGUGAUCUUCUGUUAGUACUCUUUUAUUCGUCAAUUUGAAUGAUAUAAUUCUAGAUGUGUAGGAGGCCUUGUUUGCAGUCAUAUUUUGUUAAUUAUUCACCUGCAUGACUUACUGUUCUCUUCUAUUGUUUUCCUUGCCACCUGCAAAUACUAUUUCUACAUAUAAUUCAAAUCGCAUCCAUAUCGCUUUUAUAUGAAACAGGGUUGUUGUUGGCAGUAAAAUAACAGUGAUGCUUUAUCAAAACCUGUGCUCCAGGUGAUGAUUAAUUUCGCAUGUCUUUAAUAGUGUCGGCCUUUUAUCUUUGACUUACAAUACUUUGUCUGAUUCUCGACGAUGCAUUUAUUCUCACACCCAUUUGAUUUUGCUAUUUAUUUGUCCAUAUGUAAUAAAAUAUCAUUUUACGUUGACUUGCUACAAGUGCACUGGCUAGUUAUACUUUUCUCUGUCUUCCUAUUGAAACCUUGUUAACCUCUCUCUGAAAACUAAGAAAUUGUUGUAUGCGUAAAUUGGAGAUCAACUAGAAUGUACGACAUUGCUUUCGCUUUGAUUCUAUAUGUUAAAUUGUACGUGGUUUCUAGAAAAUAUUAUUUUCUGCAUGAAGACUUUUCUGCACAAAGACAUUUCUGCACAAAGUCUUUUCUGCACGAACACUUUUCUGCACGGAUUAUAGGGACACUGGAAGUUUGAGAGCUGUUUCCCUUCAGAAGAAAAUUGAUUUGUAGUUACCUUCUCGAAUAGGCCAUUGCAGAUCAGUCUUCGAAAGGAACCAUGCAGCAUUGCCUUACUAAAGGCUGCUCGUGCUUUGGACUAAAAGACUCUCUGCAUAUAUAGGAAUUAACAGAAGCAACUGCUUAACAGAAAUAAUUUUGGUGCAUCUUUUCAUCAGUGAAUUAGUAUAGCUAGAAGAAUAUUCAUGGCAAACCAACCAAUGUUUCUUUCAGGAAGGACUAGCUGGCUCUUCAGACAUCUUCAUUCGGUUUUUGCUUUUUUUUCCUUCGUCCAGUUUUCCUCUAAUUUCAACCUUUCAGGACUUAAUUGGAGCAUACCUAAGAGAUAGAGAGGAGGAAGGACAAAAUUUUCUUAAACAAGUGUUAUUUAAACGAUCUUCGAACGAAGAAGGAUAAUUGUGUAUGUUACCAAAAUAACAAUACUCUUUCAUCAGUAUAUAAGAAAAGGAUCUUUCAAUUUUGAUUUUUUAUGUGCAGUUUUUUGUGAAAAUGUUGUUUCUUAUAAACCCAAAAUCCCCAUGAGGAUAUUUCUUUACGCCUUUUGAGACCUACAAAGCCUUAAAAGCCGAGGUGCGGCUGUUUUCAUUUCUUUUUUAAAGGUCAAAUUUUCUUAGAUCGCAUUGUUGCGAAACCCUUUCUACGUUAUUCCUUUCUCGUCGCCUUAUCUUUGCUCUUGAGAUGGCCCCAACUGACGGGAUGGAAGAACUAUUCUUCUUCAGUCAGACACUAUCUAUGUCAUAUAAAAAGUGGCAUGCGUUUAUGAACUAUAUUUCAUGCCUUUGCAACUGUAACAAUUAAAUGGGUUCUUAGUAUGACGGUGAAGAACCUGGUAAUAACAAAUUUGUUGUUGGAGCGAUGGGCUAGGCCAAAGGGCCUAGUUCUCGAAUAGAUAGAACACAAGAGAUACUCUAGAGAUACAAGAGAUACUCCUUCUUUGAUGUUAUCUCUAAUGAUUUAACAGAAACACUAACUUCUAAAGUGAUAAACACACUAAUAACAUAACGGAAGCUAAUUAACAGGACAAUAGGGACCUCACACUACAUGUUGACAAACAAUUACAUUGCUAUAAAAGGCGUUCGUUAACACAACAGGACUUAACAGAAAAUGUGACUUUAACACGCAAAAGGAACAUAACUAAAUUGAUUACAUAUAAAGGCCAAACCGUUACACAACUCACAUUAUAGUCUACUCUGUUAGAGCCCUCAAAUUUUUAACUAAGUGAACAAUCUCUGGAAAUGAUGGUCUUACUUCCUCUUUUUUCUUUAAAUUUGGAUAUACAAUCACUGCCAAAAGUCUUGGAACACUAACGUAGGUUUUCAAAGGCAAAUUCAGCCAUCCCCCUCUCCCCCUAGGAACAAUGUUGAUUUACUAUAGAAAAAAGAAAGAGGUUAUAGAGUGCGCUUUUUCUUGUAUAUUGUUUGAUAUUUUUCUAUACUUUCAACAUUGUUUUGGGGGGAAAGGGGGGCGGAAGUGGUGGUAUUCAAGAAAACAAAUGAAAAAUAGAAAAGCACAGCCCAAAGUGUUAGGUGUUCCAAGUAAUUUUGGCAGUGAUUGUAGCUUAUCCUUUCUCUUUUAUUCUUGAUACUAGCUUUUAUUUCAGUCUUGCGUUUUUUUUCUUAAGUAGUUUUGUUUGUUGACAACUUAAAAGUAACUACUUACUCAAUUAAAGGAAACUUACCAGAACGUUUGGAAAAGUGCUGACGUUUGCAAAAUCUGCUGCCAAACGAAGAAAAAAAUAAUUAUAUUCUCAAAAUUUAUAAUUCAUUCAUUAUUUAACCUGUAAAUUGAACAGCUCAAAAGGAGACAUCCUCUACAGUCUGGCCAUUUAUUUUGAAUAGUCGAAGGGAAACAAACGUCAUUGCUGUUAUCUGAUUUUCUUUAUCAAAAUGAAAUUCAAGUUUGAUUUAACGGGAUUGAAAUUGGUUUGAACUCUGAGCAAUCGAUUGGCAAGAUUGAAUCACCUUUGUUGCUUCAACCGAUAUUUUGUAGCAAUAAUCUUUGGAUGAAUCUUAAUACUUAAAUCUGGUUGGAAAAAUUUGUUCUUCCCGCUUCAACGAACAUACAACAUUAAGCUUCACCUUUUUUAACGUUUCAUUGACUUUUUUGGACAUGGUGCUCCAAAUAACAUACCUUUUUAUGUGUGACAUGCCAAUAUUAAUUUUUAUGUUUCAAUAUACAUAGAUCAUGUUAGUUUCUCAAAGAAUUUUAGGUUCAUAAUUCGAAUUUCCCUUUCAUUGUAUUUGACAUAAUGUUUUUCAAUAAUUUGCAUUAUAUCUCACAUUAUACAAUGUAUGUAUGUCACCUGUCUAUACCAGUCAUACUUCCCUUACCACGCAAAAACCUUCAAUAUGGUUUUCUCUCUUUUCAUACUGUUUCGUUGUUUCCAUAAUGGUUGCUUUGUUCUUGUAAUGCUUGCUAAUUUCAUUUAACGCUAGCGACGCCGUGUAUAUGACAGAAAUCAAACAAACAAAAUUUCUUUUGCGUCAGUUGUACUACUAUUCAUUUUCUAUCAUCUAAACUCAACUCCCCAACAUUCUUCUGUUAUGAAUUAUUCAAAAUUCUAUUAAGACGAACUGUCAUUAGAAAUAAAACACGGUCAUAUUGUAUUGGUACGACUUCCUGUGUCCGAAAAGACCUGUUACGCGUGUAAAAUAAUUCACCAAUCAGCUGGUGUUUAUAUUAUCAAGGGCGACACAAUAUUAAGCGUAUAUGAGUGUGAUUUAGCAGUUUGGAAAUGCGAUAUUGUUUUCGCAGCACAUUAGCUGUAGCUUUGAAAAUAUCACCAAUGUCUGGGCUUGAAAAGCUUUCCUGAAGCUGCUCUAAAGCAAAAUGAUAGCAAGACGGCAGUCGAUUGCAGACAAAGCUUUUUUAUGAACUACGUUGCGUGCUUUGGAGGCCGCUUCAACAUGGCCAAUUGAUACUAUUAUUUAAAAGAACUUUUACCGAUUUGAAAAGUCAGUGCAAUUACGGUGUGACUUGUUGGAUUUUUGAGGCGAUUCGUGUGGAAAUCUUUUAAGAAUAUGUUUCCUAUUCUGAGCUUAAAGUGAACUCUAUCUUUUCUUUCAACUUUAUCCAACUAAUAUCAACAAAAGAGAUUUGAAGAAUACGAUUUGAAAGCAGUUCGUUAUUCAAAUCAAGAAAAUCUUGUUUUAUUUGGAGAUCAUUUGUUUAAAGUUGGUUUUGUGAAAUUAGUUUAUCCAGCUUUUCUAAUAACUUCAUCUGAAAACUUCCAUUGGAAUCCUGGUCGCUUGCAUGGCAUACAUAGGAAAUUGUAGUUUGUUUUCCCGUAUUAUUUAGUUGACGCAUACAUUGACCACAGACGAUUCAUGCGAUAACCACCCGAUGUUGUUGCUUAAGGACAGAUGCAGGCAAUAAAUCUUUAAUGCUGAAAUCGUUUCUGCAGUUCCCUGUUCAGUUACAGGAUGAUUUUUUGAAAGAGAUGUUGCCGUUUAGCUGACUCACUUAGUCGCGGAUAGUCAAAUUGUCGAUUAUACGACUUUUUCAUACAUGAAUAAUUGAUUCUUUAACUACUUCAAUUAUCUUGUUUUGCAAAAUCACCGCCAAGCACCGAACUAUCCUGCUCAACUCCAACGAGAAAGAAAUAUCUGCAAUUUGCUUGUUUGGCUGUUAAAGUGAAAUGACAUGCACAAGUUGUAAUCCGUAGUUCGGAUGGUGUUUGUCGGUUUGCUGGUAGCGUGACAGGGCUCACUCUUACCACACAGCCUUUGCUUUCAUUCACAAAUCGUGUUCGCAGUUUCAGGCAGACUCAAGACACCCAUGUGGCGGUACUUACUCCUCUUCAGCGAACGGAUUUCAUGAUGCAGAAUAAGCGAGUAUUGACCAGGCACAAAUCCAUGCCAAUACCAAAACUUAAAGUUCAAACAGUCGACGAAGAGAAAUCAUUGUUUGAUAAGAACGAAGAUGGCAGUCCUUUGAACUAUGAUUUUUCACAAGCUAAUCAGAAUUUUUCUGCUGACUCUAGGUACAAACUACGCAACAUUCUGACGACAGAUAAGCCUUCGGAGGAUAAAGAAACCGUCAGGGUGAAGUAUUACAUACACGAGAAAACAUUCAGAGAAAGGUUAAAGAUCAUUUUCAUCACCAAUCAUAAGUCGAGUAUAAGAUGGCAAUCUCUGCGCUUUGCAAUAUUUUUGUCCUCCUGUAUGGCAUAUCUACUGCGCGCCCUCCUGGAUACAGAUCCAAAAAGAUCGGGAUGUGGCGGAUGUCCUGAAGAUAGACGAAACACAACAAAAUGGUGUUGCCCUGACUAUUCUAAAGAUGAUAUUCAUAUGGCAUUACUUUGGGUGGAUCGGCCUAUAGGCAUAUGGGCCUUCCAGACUGCAGUUGCCAUAUUUAGCAUCUUUGAUGCAAUUCUCACCGGAUUUCUGUCAUACAAAGGCUCUCUUCUUGGCGCGAUCGGGAGGUACAUGAUAUUAGAAAUAUUAACUGGUCUGCCCUUCAUCAUUUCGAUCUUUUGGUAUGAUUUUCGCAAUAUCUUUGCAUUAACGUUUUUGCAUUGCUGGAUUGCCAAAGACAGUGCAUACAGAGUCCUGACGGAUUUACAUCGAAAUAGACUUCAAAACAGAUCGGCUGUUUCACAGAAAGUCAUGCUAGUUGCAUUCAGUGUCAUCUGCCUCAUCUUUACAAGCAUCUGCGGGCUUCAGCAGCUGGAGCGUGCACAUGGAAGCUGGACAAUGUUCAAGGCACUCUGGUUUGUCGUUGUCACUUUCAGUACUGUUGGUUAUGGUGACACUGUUCCAAAAGAUACAUUGUCAAGAACAUGGGUUAUGAUUAUGAUUAUUCUCGCAUUGCUCAUCCUCCCAGCAGAGUUGGAAGAGCUGGCCUUUCUUCUUGUUUCCAAGCAAAAGGAAGGUGGUGUUUACAGCACUGCGUACGGUGCUGACAGGCACGUUGUUGUGUGUUCGACUGCCCUGAGAGCUAGUACAAUGAUUGACUUCUUGAAUGAGUUUUAUGCUGACCCAAAAAUGGAGGACGUCCAUGUAGUUUUACUUUCACCAGCCGAGUUAGAAAGCAAGCUGCGUAUUCUAUUGCAAGUACCGUUGUGGGAUCAAAGAGUAACAUAUCUGAAAGGCUCUGCGUUGAAUGAUCAAGAUCUCAUCAGAGCAAGGGUCAUCGAUGCAGAGGCCUGCUUCAUUCUUACCGACAGGGGAAAUCCUGAUGUCGAUGUUCGGGACCAUCAGACAAUCGUAAGGACUUGGGCUAUUCAAGACUUUGCACCAGCAACUCCACUUUACGUUCAAAUUCACAAACCAGAAAACAAAUUUCACGUCACUUUUGCAGAGCAUGUGGUCUGCGAAGACGAGAUUAAAAAUGCAUUGCUGGCAUCAAAUUGUAUUUGUCCUGGCAUAUCAACUCUGGUGACGCUUCUUUUACACACAUUGCGGGAGCAAAAAGGAACUUCAUCUGAUGUCUGUGAAAAUAUCUAUGGAAGAAGCGCAGGAAAUGAAAUCUACGAUAUCCGACUUGGAGACAGUAAAAUGUUUCGAAGAUUUGCUUAUAAAAGUUUUACAUAUGCGGCAUAUAAUGCUUUUAAAAGGUUUGGUGUAACAUUGAUCGGUGUACGAAGAGAACCAAAAGAGUCACAGAUAUUUCUUAAUCCUGGCCCAAGCUUCAAACUAGCAUACGAUGAUACCUUGUUCUACAUUGCAAUAACAUCGGAAGAAGACAUGGCCCUAGAAGAGCUUACUAAACACUCGAAGAAAGGAAAGUACCAAAGCUCUCUCAAAAGCGAUGAUGGAAAGAAGAGUCGCAAACUAACGAGGCAGAGUGAGUGGGGAAGCUUCAUAUCAGUCAUCGACAAUAGCGAGGAUGAUAAAGGUAUAGAACAGAAUAUCGAGCUUAAACCAGCACCACCAAGUCCAAAUGGUUCCGUGCUACACAGCAAAGACUCUCCGAUUGCAGCUUCUAUUAUUGAUAUCAAUGUUUCAAAUGCGGGUGAUUUCAAUGAAAUACCGGCUUCGGAUUUCUCUGAUCAGUCCAGUGACAAUGAUGUUCAAGAGUUAAAUGUUCCCAUUCAAAACAUCCCAAACUACAUAAUUGGGGUACCCCCGAUAACACCGUAUGUUGGAAGAUCACCCUUAAAAUGUCAUCUUCUACCGGAACCAAAACCGUUUUGCUGUAUGGAACUAAAUAAGCCUUGCACAAAACAACACAAGCUGCAAGACAGAGACGAUAGAGCGAAAAACUUGACUGGUGGGGUCAUUGUAGCCUGUCCGAGAGCUGGAGCGGGUCUCUACAACUUCAUUCUUCCGCUGAGAGCAUAUCAUCAACCAAAAUGUUAUCUAAAACCAUUGAUUAUACUUUUAAACGAGCGGCCUUCACCUGCUUUUUACGAAGCUGUUUGUUCAUUUCCUCUUUUGUACUUUAUGAUUGGAUCAUUUAAAAAUAUAGACGACUUACUUCAAGCUGGCAUAUUGGAAUCAGACACUGUUGUGAUAACUGAUCAGCUACAAUCCAUGGAAGGAAUUUUCUCCGACGAAGAAUACAUGGCAGAUGCUUACACGAUUGUAGGAGUACAAACUAUAUAUAGGCUGUUUCCGAAUGUUGGCUUGAUCGUUGAGCUCACACAUUCUAGUAACAUGAAAUUUAUGAAAUUUGACGUACCAACUAUCCCACCGCAAGUGACUGGUUUGUCCAACAAGGAAAGCUUGCGAAAUACAAUUAAGUUAAGGACAAGAGAGAUGAAAUCACGAAAUGAUCACCUCGAUUAUUUGUUCAGAGGUCCUUUUGCUGCCGGAAAUGUUUUUAGUGCCAGCAUGAUCGAUACCUUAUUAUAUCAAACGUUUAUGAAAGAUUAUAUGAUAACACUAAUAGCCCUUUUACUUGGAUGCGAACAAAACGCAGGGUCUGGGUAUCUUGCAUCGGUAUCAAUAACUGACAAUAACAUAUGGAUAAAGAGUUACGGCCGUCUAUUUCAACGGCUUUGUACAACUAACUAUGAUAUCCCAAUUGGGUUAUACCGGCAUAUAACUGGUAGCUCAACCACACAAACCAGUGACAAAAUACCUGAAAGCAGAGAUAUUUAUGGGAUAGUAACAAAUCGUAUGAAGCGGUUAGGAUUACGGGGGAAGCAUGAUUUGUUCACACGACAAGGCAAAUCUUACUCCCUGGUUAAUCCCCCUCCUGAUUUUGAGCUUGAAACAGGUGAUAUUGUAUACAUCAUAAGGAGAUCUCCGUCGAUGACUUCAGUUCACAAUGACUUGAGUCCCGAUGACGUGGCCACGGCUACAACUGCUCUCUAAAAUUCUCCAAGUCGAUGAAAAUGUUUCAAGACGUGCCCUUCAAGAAAGGAAACAUGAAAAUGAUUUUCUAUCAUCUGAGAAGCCCAAAAGAGCUUGUCCUUUUGGUAAAUUGGAGGGGAUAAACGACUCAGUAGAAGGUCUAUGACCACAGUGUAUUAACCCCUUCCUUUUUCCAAUUUUUGUUCGACCGAAGAUGCCCCAAAAGUCCACAGCUGCAGUUCUGAGUAGCUCAGACAAUUGGUAAAGGCACCAGCUGCUGUGUAACGGGGAUUGAAAAAUUGGUUUAAGCCUUAUAAAAUCUUUAGACCACGGUCUUUGUAUUAUUCUGCUAGGUAAACAUUGAAAGGGAUACCGGUCCUUCCUCAAUUCAUUUUAGUCAAUCUAUAGAAGAUUGGUGUAGAUCUGUGUUGAAAAAGUAGACAAGGAGCAGAUGCAAAGGAAUCUGCCUUGUUGGUCCUUGAAUACAGCUUUGUUAGGCAUACAUGGGGUAGUAAAGGCUCAUCUAUAAAAUGUUUUAGCUACUUAUCUUUAGACACCCAUGUACAUCAUUUCAUUUGACAGCAUGCUGUAGUACCUAUUUAAUACUCUUAAAACUCAGCUACGAUUGUCUAGGAAACAACAAACAAUAAAAUGUUUCUCUAAACACUCAAACUCUCUUGCUGGUAUGACCUCACUAAAAAUAUUAAGGACCUAGAGAGAAAUUUAUUUUACUGUGCGCGAAAGCCUGCGGUGCAGGCUCAUUGUCAACAAUUAAAUGUCAUUAAAAUUUCCAUAUUGGAAAGAGACGGUCAGAUAAUUAUAUAUCUCUUAAUUAUUUAGCUGUUUGCUGAGAGAAACUUAGGCAAUGUGAAUAACGUUAAGAUUUGUCUUCUUGACAUCGAAAAAGAUGACUCAAACGACCCGAAUCUUUUUCCACAAGAGCCAUACAAUCUUUGUAAUACGCUUUGCUUGCGGUAGGAAAUUAUCUUGCCAAAAGUUGGAGUGAUGAUGGGUGGUAAUGUUGGUGAAACUCCACUUUAACAAGGUAUGCCCUCUCAAAGAAACAAGGUAAAGAAUUAAAGACUUAAGGUAUUAAAGAUUUUUGUCAGAAAAUUCAGUUUGCUCACCCUGAGACACUGAUCAUGUAGUGUUGCUUAUCAUCAUGAUAGCUUUAUCUCGUAAAUACCAAAUUACUUUUCAUAAAUUCAGAACUCUAUGAAAACAUUCAGUUACUAAAUUAUUUAUAGAAUUAUCGAAUUAUCAGCCUAUUUAGGUGCUGUAUAAUGACAGUUUUUGUUACUGGACAACAUUUGUUUACACACCCAUAUUGUAAUUAUUAGAGUAAACAUUGUUUAUUUACUUAAGGACAUUGAUAGUAUUUAUUGAAGGCAUUGUAAAUGCAGAUGAUGAAUUAUUUGAAAGGUAUUUCUUCUGUAAUAUAUAGUGAUAUAUACUUGUCAGAAUAGACUGUAAAUAGAGAUUCUUUACUGCAUUUUUUGUCUUAAGGCCAUUAAACAAUCAGCGCUGGAGUUUUGCUAUAGGCACUCUGCAGUAUUUACUGCUGUAUUUUCUUUCGUGAAGAAUAUGAUUAACACAAGUGCUAAUCUUAGCACCCUAGUUAAUCCUAACCGUUUUAAGGUCAGCAAUGUUGUCAUAGAGAGGAUGUGUGUCGAAAAUUGGGAUUCGAAACUAUAUCGUCAAAAUCUACAACAUAUAGAAAGAACGGUUUUAAUAACAGGAGUGAAAAGAUUCACAGUUCUAAUGGAAUUCAAUUCGGAAUGCUCACUUCCCUGUCUGACUUUAUCUUUUUUCUCUGCAAAAAGGAGGAAGCGGAGGUUAGAAAGAAAAUGCAUUGUAAAAGCUUUCCCUUUUUGUCAACCAUUUAACAGAUUCAGCUAUGGAGUCAAGGGGCUUGGGACUUAGAGUUAAAAGUGCCUUUUAGAGAUGUGACGCCAUCCUGCGAGUUUCCAUCGUCUUACAACACCAAGGAAUUUCCAAAUACAGCUUUAAGACGCAAUCUGUAAACCUGAGACGCCAGAAGCUGCAGUUCGAAUCCCUUUACCACAACUGGAAAUCACGUGAUGUGGAAGGCUUCCAGUGACUGGUAUCGAAAGAAGGGGCCACGUAACGGUUUGAUAAGCAGACAAAUGCUUUUUAUGAGAAGCCACUUUAAGGCACUGAGACAGCCGAGUACCUAAAAUCUCUUAAUGUUACGGCAGCAUUGUUAAAAAAUUUUUCACAUUCUUCAUAUUCAGAUGAACAAGAUAAUGUUGUUUUCUGUCGUGCAAGCAAGAAAAUAAUUUUUUCUUUGUCACUAAAACUUAGCUUCUAAUUUUAUUCAUAAAGUAAGAUUGCAUUAUUGAUAGAGUGAAAUAGUCGAAUUUUGGCAAAUCUCUCCAAUCUAAGAAUCUUAACGAACUUUUAAUUCUUAAUUUUUAUGAAAAUUAAGAAAGUUUCGGUACAAAGAACUUUUUAAAUUUCUUUUUAAAAUUCUUUUCAAGUGUCCUAAAUUCUCCCUUUAUAAAUUAUUUCAUUAAUAAAAAAGUACGUAUAUGAAACAGCACUUUAUUUUUCGUUGCUCUUGUACAUCUGAUCUAGAUAGGGUACUUGCAAAAUCUGCACUUUCAUUAACAGCUUCGUUCUUUGAACCUUUCUUUUUAUAUGCUUUAUAUAUGCUCUAAAAAGGCCUCGCAAAACGUCUGCAAACUUCAAGUUUAUCUAGUAUACUUGUUGAUAAUAUAGAUUUAACCGGAAGAAAUAAUGUAUUCAUUUCCAAAUCUAGAUAAUCAUUCCUCGAACAAUGAAACAAUUCCUAAGUUGGUCUUUCGAUAAUUUUUUCUUGGCAAACAGCAUUGGCAAAGAAAAAGGGAAUUAUGAGGUCAAGCAAAAGUCAUUGUUAAAUAUAAUAGGAAAAUGAAUGAUUUCAGUUCAUGUUUACUGGAAACUGAUAACAAAUCUAUGCGAAGUUCAGUGAAUUUGCAAGACUCUGUAUAAGUGUUUGUUGAAUGCCUGUUAGCAUGGCUAAUUAACCACUGGCUAAUGAUAUAAGGUUAUAGGGUGGUCAGACCUGUAUCGCAUCACCAGUUCCAAGAGCAAACAUGUUCAGUGAAAAGUUAGGCAGGCUCGCGCCAAUCAACGGAUGAAUAGAACAGAACAACGACAAAGCAAAAACUUUGAACAAGAACUUACAAAUCCUUCUGUCAUCUGCAAUGCUACAUGACUAGGCCACUUUAUGGAAAGCGAUGAACUAUCAGAGAUAAAUCAAAUGAGCAAGAACAAGAAAAAAUAAAGGAUCACAAAUGAACCGACGCACAACUGGCUGCAGCUGCAUAAGUACCUUUGUUGGAAUUUUAUUUCUUUUGCAUACAUGGCUAUGCAGUGGUGCACUGAGAUCCAAGUAUGCCAAUGU